Molecule: ribosomal RNA, 544 nt
Filed under: uncultured bacterium
Lineage: Bacteria
Description: partial 16S ribosomal RNA
Rfam family: Bacterial small subunit ribosomal RNA
Source: RNAcentral
UGGGGAAUAUUGCACAAUGGGCGCAAGCCUGAUGCAGCCAUGCCGCGUGUGUGAAGAAGGCCUUCGGGUUGUAAAGCACUUUCAGCGAGGAGGAAGGUGGUGAACUUAAUACGUUCAUCAAUUGACGUUACUCGCAGAAGAAGCACCGGCUAACUCCGUGCCAGCAGCCGCGGUAAUACGGAGGGUGCAAGCGUUAAUCGGAAUUACUGGGCGUAAAGCGCACGCAGGCGGUUUGUUAAGUCAGAUGUGAAAUCCCCGGGCUCAACCUGGGAACUGCAUUUGAAACUGGCAAGCUAGAGUCUCGUAGAGGGGGGUAGAAUUCCAAGUGUAGCGGUGAAAUGCGUAGAGAUCUGGAGGAAUACCGGUGGCGAAGGCGGCCCCCUGGACGAAGACUGACGCUCAGGUACGAAAAGCGUGGGGGAGCAAACAGGAUUAGAUACCCUGGUAGUCCACGCUGUAAACGAUGUCGAUUUUGGAGGUUGUGCCCUUGAGGCGUGGCUUCCGGAGCUAACGCGUUAAAUCGACCGCCUGGGGGAGUACGGCC